CCCACUGGAAGCUGGAUCCUGGCCUUGGGUGCAGGGUGGGUGGAAACAGCAGAGACCCCGGCGCAGUUGCAUCGCUGGAAGUGGGGUCUGCAGUGCUGAUGGUGUCGGUUGGAGUGCUUGGAGUCCUCAGCGAGCACUAGGAGCAUCGAUUGGCGGAGGUACUCAGUCGGAGUGCCAGCGUUCCGUCACAGCUCCAAACUCCCGAACUGAAACCUCACGAAUAGCUGCUAGCAGCUGAACAGGAAAAGCACCCAAGCGGCUUACACUCCUGGCAAUCAGUCUCUAACAGCAUACAGUAAA
This is a non-coding RNA of Pelobates cultripes (western spadefoot toad), 300 nucleotides long. The record is from the annotation of a GenBank genome assembly. Lineage: Eukaryota; Metazoa; Chordata; Amphibia; Anura; Pelobatidae.